This is a long non-coding RNA of Triticum dicoccoides, 147 nucleotides long. RefSeq lists it as uncharacterized. The record is from RefSeq and is a predicted model, not a curated record. NCBI's taxonomy places the organism in Eukaryota, Viridiplantae, Streptophyta, Magnoliopsida, Poales, Poaceae. The transcript has 3 exons.
AUUUUUUUUUCGCCAGUUGCAUCAAACCGUGUCUGCAAUGCACUUGCACUUCUUCAGUGUGUUGCUUCACACCCUGAGACCAGGAUCCCGUUCUUGAAUGCUCACAUCCCACUGUACCUGUACCCGUUCCUGAAUACUACCAGCAAG